Molecule: non-coding RNA, 194 nt
Filed under: Desulfocicer vacuolatum
Lineage: Bacteria; Pseudomonadati; Thermodesulfobacteriota; Desulfobacteria; Desulfobacterales; Desulfobacteraceae
Also listed under: 1 other name
Source: RNAcentral
CAACAUCGCACUGUUUCUGGUGGCACCUUGCCUUAAUAAGGGAAUCCGGUGAAAAUCCGGAACGGUCCCGCCGCUGUAAACGGGGAGAGUGGCUGCAUCCAUGUCACUGCAACGUCUUUAUAAACGUUGUGGGAAGACGCAAGUCACUUCAAUGAUCCGUAAGUCAGAAGACCUGCCAGAAACGGUAAAGAACC